RNAcentral lists this long non-coding RNA (1371 nucleotides) under Felis catus (domestic cat). RNAcentral's name for it is "lncRNA (ENSFCAG00000042223.2)". The record is from RNAcentral. Lineage: Eukaryota; Metazoa; Chordata; Mammalia; Carnivora; Felidae.
CCCCCACUGCACCCCCCCACCCCCCCCCCACACGCCUGGGACCUUACUGAUGGAGCCGCCAUAUUGGGUCACACAGGGACACACGGGCCUUUCACUCAGCGUCCCCUUCGAACGACACAGCGCAACAAUCCCACACCGGGUAUUGUUCUACGUGCUACGUUCUACGAAUAAUGAAAUCCCAACCCUCGGGGAGCUCCUAUUCCAAGCUCUACUCCCCACAGGGAAGGGGAGGGGAGGGGAGGGGAGGGGAGGGGACCGCUAAACAAAUACAACAUCAGUUGGUGAUGAAUGUGAAGAAGGAUAGAGUAGGAACAGGGGGGGAGGGGGCAGGCCGGCCUUUUUUUUUUUUUUUUUUAAAUAUGCUGGAAAAGGUCUCCUAAAAGAUAAUAGGGGGAAAGACGUAAAGCAGUAAGCCCCGUUAACGUCUGGUAUAAACAGCCCCGGGGGAGGGAACUGCAGGUUCAAAGCAUUCUGCUGUUGGAAUCAAUAAAUAACCCGGUCUUUUUCUCCCUCUACCUUCUGAUCUUCCUCCUCCACCGACUCAACUCCACUCCACUGGAGGCCAGAGAGCAAAGACAGAGUAGCUGGAAGGGGCAGGCAGCGAAGCACGGCUGGUCCAGAGAGCACGUGGAGACACGGAAACGGGGUUCGGUGCCCGUCUGUCCCAUAGCAGGGUCUCGCAGGAGCUGGUACGUGUGGAGACGACUAUGAAGCCUCAUAGAUUCAGCUUCCGGUGACACUCGGUCCUAGCAUUGGUCCCUGCCGGGCGGUGCAGCAGUCAGAUGCAUGGACCAACCAUCUCAUGUGCAGCAAAAGCAGCUCCUCUGCCCCAGGACCCUUGCACAGGAGGUCACUGUACAUUUUGCCACCCGGCCCUGGCUCCUCUCCCAUCUCUUUGCUCACUCGGGCAGAGCCCUCAAGUGCAGCCAAGUGAGUGGCUGUUGCUCCGAGUGCUGGGGCUUCAGAGGAUAGAGAAUAGGUCUUCCCUCGGGAAGAUUUCCAUUCUCGGGGCAAGGACAGCUGGGGAGCAAAGCAGGGUACGGGAUGGAGUGCAGCAAGGGGUGCCAUUUGGGAGAGAGUCAUUGGCUCAAACGUCCCCUCCUCAGGAAGGCUCCCCAGGACCUGAAUGUAGAGAGAAGUGAGCCAUGUGGCUGUCUAGGGGAAGUGUGUUCCCAGAGACUUCAAACAGGCACACGCUUUGUCCAAGGACAGCAAUGGGCCCGGCCCAUUUCCUUCCUCCACCUUCCCCAUCCUUCACCCAGGUUUCCUUGGUCUACACAUUCCUCCCCCCUGCACCCCCACCCCUGUUGUCUUUCACCUAGCCAAGUCCUUCUCCCGUGACCUUUAGCACUCAAGCCAGAGGCUGCCUCC